This 468-nucleotide ribosomal RNA is filed under the name uncultured bacterium. Its description in RNAcentral is "partial 16S ribosomal RNA". It matches the Rfam family "Bacterial small subunit ribosomal RNA", at positions 28 to 507 of the family's 1533-position model. The record is from RNAcentral.
GACGAACGCUGGCGGCGUGCUUAACACAUGCAAGUCGAACGGAAAGGCCCUGCUCUUGUGGGGUGCUCGAGUGGCGAACGGGUGAGUAACACGUGAGUAACCUGCCCUUGACUUUGGGAUAACUUUAGGAAACUGGGGCUAAUACCGGAUAGGAGCUCCUGCUGCAUGGUGGGGGUUGGAAAGUUUCGGCGGUUGGGGAUGGACUCGCGGCUUAUCAGCUUGUUGGUGGGGUAGUGGCUUACCAAGGCUUUGACGGGUAGCCGGCCUGAGAGGGUGACCGGCCACAUUGGGACUGAGAUACGGCCCAGACUCCUACGGGAGGCAGCAGUGGGGAAUAUUGCACAAUGGGCGGAAGCCUGAUGCAGCAACGCCGCGUGCGGGAUGACGGCCUUCGGGUUGUAAACCGCUUUCGCCUGUGACGAAGCGUGAGUGACGGUAAUGGGUAAAGAAGCACCGGCUAACUACGUG